RNAcentral lists this ribosomal RNA (253 nucleotides) under uncultured bacterium. Its description in RNAcentral is "partial 16S ribosomal RNA". It matches the Rfam family "Bacterial small subunit ribosomal RNA", at positions 524 to 776 of the family's 1533-position model. The record is from RNAcentral.
UACGUAGGUGGCGAGCGUUGUCCGGAUUUAUUGGGUUUAAAGGGUGCGUAGGCGGCUUAUUAAGUCAGUGCUGAAAUAUCCCGGCUUAACCGGGAGGGUGGCAUUGAUACUGAUGAGCUUGAGUGGAUUCGAGGUAGGCGGAAUUGACGGUGUAGCGGUGAAAUGCUUAGAUAUCGUCAAGAACACCGAUAGUGAAGACAGCCUACUAGACUUCAACUGACGCUGAUGCACGAAAGUGUGGGGAUCAAACAGG